AGAGCGAACGCUGGCGGCAUGCUUAACACAUGCAAGUCGCACGGGCACUUCGGUGUCAGUGGCGGACGGGUGAGUAACGCGUAGGUAUCUAUCCUUGGGUGGGGGACAACGGUUGGAAACGACUGCUAAUACCGCAUAAUAACUGAGGUUUAAAGGCGCAAGUCGCCUGAGGAGGAGCCUGCGUACGAUUAGCUAGUUGGUGGGGUAAAGGCCUACCAAGGCGACGAUCGUUAGCUGGUCUGAGAGGAUGAUCAGCCACAUUGGGACUGAGACACGGCCCAAACUCCUACGGGAGGCAGCAGUGGGGAAUAUUGGACAAUGGGCGAAAGCCUGAUCCAGCAAUGCCGCGUGUGUGAAGAAGGUCUUCGGAUUGUAAAGCACUUUCGACAGGGACGAUGAUGACGGUACCUGUAGAAGAAGCCCGGCUAACUUCGCGCCAGCAGCCGC
Molecule: ribosomal RNA, 447 nt
Filed under: uncultured bacterium
Lineage: Bacteria
Description: SSU rRNA
Rfam family: Bacterial small subunit ribosomal RNA
Source: RNAcentral